UGGGGAAUAUUGGACAAUGGGCGAAAGCCUGCUCCAGCCAUGCUGCGUGUGUGAAGAAGGUCUUCGGAUUGUAAAGCACUUUAAGUUGGGAGGAAGGGCAGUAAGCGAAUACCUUGCUGUUUUGACGUUACCGACAGAAUAAGCACCGGCUAACUCCGUUCCAGCAGCCGCGGUAAUACAGAGGGUGCAAGCGUUAAUCGGAAUUACUGGGCGUAAAGCGCGCGUAGGUGGUUCGUUAAGUUGAAUGUGAAAGCCCCGGGCUCAACCUGGGAACUGCAUCCAAAAAUGGCGAGCUAGAGUAGGGCAGAGGGUGGUGGAAUUUCCUGUGUAGCGGUGAAAUGCGUAGAGAGCUGGAGGAAUACCGAUAGCGAAGGCAGCAAUCUGGCCUAACUCUGACGCUGAGGUACGAAAGAAUGGGGAGCAAACAGG
RNAcentral lists this ribosomal RNA (429 nucleotides) under Pseudomonadota bacterium. RNAcentral's name for it is "Proteobacteria bacterium partial 16S ribosomal RNA". It matches the Rfam family "Bacterial small subunit ribosomal RNA", at positions 355 to 776 of the family's 1533-position model. The record is from RNAcentral. Lineage: Bacteria; Pseudomonadati; Pseudomonadota.